AAUGUGCUAAAUUAAUAUCUUUAAAACCAACAAAACUUGAAGCUUUUCUUCUAAAAGUAACAAACUAAUCUUCUUUUUUGCUAUUUGGAGGAAAAAUAUGGCUCAAAUUCUCACAUUAUUUUAUCUUUGGAUCGUUUUUUCUUCAUCCAUAGUUAUUAAUGUAACCGGUGGACGAAAGCAUGACUUGGAACUUAUUGGAUCUUUCACUCCUUGUCGAUCAUUCAAAGAUUGUCCAGAAGAUACGUGCUUGCCUCCACGAAAACGACAUUGCUUAUCGGGUUUUUGUGAAUGUCGUUAAGCAUAACAAUCAUGUUGAGAAAUAUUUGAAUAUUUCUUAUAAUGUGUUAUUUUAAUUUCUUUUUUCAUAUCAUAAUAACGCAAAUAAUGUUGUUAAAUUAACUAUAAAAAUUAGAAGUAAAAAUGAUAAAAUAUGAAAAAAAUACUAUUUAAUUUCGUUGGAAUAUGUUUUAUCAGCCACUAGAAUUUAUAGAUUUUGAAAAAUCUUUUUAAUUACAAUGUUGGUUUUUUUUCGUUGA
Molecule: long non-coding RNA, 536 nt
Organism: Vicia villosa (hairy vetch)
Lineage: Eukaryota; Viridiplantae; Streptophyta; Magnoliopsida; Fabales; Fabaceae
Exons: 3
Source: RefSeq, a predicted model, not a curated record